CCCUUGGUGGCUCUCCCUUCCCAGGUCUCAUAACUGACACACAGAGCUAGCGAAGACCAUGCUUUGUCCUGCCUCUCCGCGGCUCCUGAGCUUAGAGGGCCUUUUCACCCUUUUGCUGAGAGUGCUGCUUUUUAGAGUGAGGGCUUGGCCUGAUAAGAGCUAUCGCCAUGUGCACUGCGCUUUAUUACAGUGUUGGGCUGCAGCACGCUGGCUUGCUGUGUGAAUGAGUGACACGGAUUGCUGUCCACAGAAAACCCUGAACUACGCGAAGAAACACCGCCCACCACAGCCUUGACUUCUAAAAUGCAGUGACCGGGAGGCAAAGCCCUGGAUUCCUGAGGAGGCGUGCUGUGACCUUGUCCUUGUGUCAGUGUGAGCUGCAUGUCAGGGCUCAAAAGGGCUUCUGCAGAUCUUAGCACAAGCCCAGGGGAUCUGGGCCUUGGGACUCGCUGCAGGCAGCAGAGGCUGAGGAGGGACUGGCUUAGCAGGAGAGGUCAGCCUCAGUUUUUAUGGGAGCUCAGUUUCCUGUACCUCUGCUUCAAAUAAGGACCCAGAUUGUAGUUUGCUACAUUAACAAGCUGAGCCGUGAAAGGAUUAGAUCCGCUAAGUGAGUGCUGUUCUGUGCACCCUUGCAAAACACAUUUCGGAAAGCAGUGGAUUCGCGUUAAAUGAGUAUCUGCUGAAGGAGCAAAGCCCUAGGAAAACAAAGGGGCACACCAGGGUAAGCUAAUAAUUCCUGCUGUGCUUUGAGGGCAAUGAAAUGACUGAACCCUGAGAACUUUUUCUCCCUCCCCUGCAGUUGGUAUAAACAUAAGAACCAUUUUGAUGAUCAUAUCGACACCUCAGCAACAAGUACUUCCCAGAGACCAAAAAAAUGUCAUUUUCCAAAGGGUUAAAUGAACCAAAAGGUCUCAACCUCAGAUAUCCUUUUUCUGCACCCGCUUAGGAUGCAUCUAUUAAACAAAACAAUGGGCAUAUAUUCAUAUCCUGUCCGUAAAUAAUCGAAUGAUACAAGAACAAAUCUACCACCAGCUGCUUUGUCCCAUGCUAUGCUUUGGCUGGGAGGGGAAAGCCAAGUUUUGAGCCGGGUCUAGCCUGACUCAGGCCGUAACUUGUGAGUCCUGCUAUUCUAACCCUUUCUCUUGAUCUGCUUUUCAGCCUGUCUCCAGCACACAGCUCAGAGCAGCAGGGAAGUUGCUUAGCAAAGGGCCACCCACUUGCCUAUUAUUCCUUCCUUGCCUGUGACAUGACACAAGAACAAAGUAGACAUUAACCGCUACAUUAAACCCAGAAAGAAAGUAAUCAGUAACCUGUUAUUCCCUUAAUAAAGGGAAACACAUGCAGUGUGAAAUCCAGAAGACUAAUCAAUAGCUGCAGACAAUGCAAUGUGCCAAACAAAUUGCAAAUCAAUUAGAAUCCUUGUUUUCUUUGAAAUGGUUCACUAUAUCUAAAGCAAUUACUCCUUCAUUAGACCUAAUUUAACAGCAUGACUGCCCUGGCUACAACUGGCAGCGUCUGGCUAUCAAAUGGAAGAAUGGCAGCUUAUUUCUGUCUGUCUGUGAGUCUAGCACCAAUCAAAAAUAAAAAUAAAAAUAAAAAAAUAAAAAAAUAAAAAAGGGGAAAAAGGGAGGAGGGAUGGAAUUCCUUUAUAUGGGAGAGACUUUUCAUGAAUGGGUAGAUAUUUGUUUUAAUCAAAAUAUCGAUACCCAAGGAAGGAUUUUUCCUCCAAGGAAAAUUAAAAGAGAAAGCAACUGCAAAACUUAUUUAACAAAAUUUAAUAAGAAUCUGUAAUUUUUAAAAAUGCAUUUCUUUUCUUCUUUCUUUACUAGCUUCAAAUAGACAAAAAUGACUUUGAAUUAUGUGUAAAGUUCCUUUAGCUCUUCAAAUCUAACACACAUCAUUGUACUAGUAUUAGGAUUUUGAACUGAGAAUCCUUUUUUUUUUUUUGGGUAGAAUUUGGAAGUCUUAUAAAUAUUUACGCCAAAGAGUACUAGCUUACUUUAUUUUAAAAGCUAUUUAAGAAUAAGUUUGUUGAGGUAUAAAAUUCACCCAUUUUGAGAGUACACUGGUGAAUUUUGCAAAUGUAUACCAUCAUGUAACCACUGCCUCAUCAAGAUACAGGACCUUUCUAUCAUCCCAGUCAGUUCUCACGUGUCCCUUUGCAGUAGUCCCGUCUCUCCAUCAGUGGCCUCAUGUAACCACGGAUCUGCUUCCUGUCAUCCCAUUUCCCAUCCUGUAUUUGUUUGGGACUGGGAAAACAAUUGAAAUAGUUUUUCUACCAGUUUGGGAAAAAUGGUUUAUCAUUGUUUGAGGAGUCAAGCAACAAUCUCUAGGAACAGAAGGAGAAGAUUACAAACUUUUCAGAAAGUAGAUAUCCUUAGAGUGUAAACCAUUUCUGGAGGUUGAAGUAAGUAUUCUUAAAUGAACUGAAAAAAAAAUCUAAUAGACUAAAUUUGCUAUUAAAUUGCUAAACUUCAUAGUUUAAUCUUUUUUUCCUUCUCUUUGAGGAUCAUUACAGCUCCAAAAAUUGUUCUUUCAGCUUAAUUUUUCUCAAUUAUUUUUUUCUGACCAUAAAAGCAAUGUAUUUUGCUUUUACAAAAUCCCAACAUUACAGAAUUAUCAAAGGUGGGAAGGUCCUUAUAUUCCCCCCAGUAACUUUCAAAAGUACACAAAACUGUGUGUACAAGGAUAUCUUUACAGCAUCGUGGUAUUAGCAAAAUACUGGAAGUUCUAGUAGUUUGAGCCUUAGAUUAAGUCAUACAUGUCCUUGCUUCCCUGCUUCCUUCCUUCGCUUCCCUUAUAACAGCUUUCACUCCCCUCUCCCCUCCCCCUAAUCCUUCCUCUUCACCUCACAUCAAAUGGCUUUUCAGUCUCUGUAUCCUUUGCUUUUCUUCGCCUUCCUUUUUUUUCUUUUUUCUUUAGAGCUCAGUGCAGGAAAAUUCUUGCAUUGGGCCUACCCAUAGCUUCUAUAAGCAAACCAACCCAUUUUGCAUCUCCUACUCCUCAAAAAACAAUAUUCUGCCGAAGCUUUCACAUCUCUAAUGUAAAUUUCUGCUACCCCAUACCGCACCCAUCUUGCCCUCUUUAACCUUUCAUUAACACUGUCACUCAGCCAAAUUAUUUUUUGUUUCUAAUGCUUCUGCUAACACUCAUAAUUUACCCUAGUCAAUCAACCUGCAAGCAUUCACUAAAGGCCUGCUUUGCAGUAUAAUCUGAUUGGCUGGUUCUGAGAGUUGGUUUGUAACUCUAAUGAAAAGCAUUUGUGAUGAUGGGGGUUGGGAGGAGGAAGUUAUGAAGUUAAAUCACCUUCUAAAGAAUUUAGCUUGGUGCUUAGGUUAGGCAGAAGGCAUUGCAAAGAUAAGUGAGAAAGAGCACUUCCCUCCUUUUCAGCUCUCUUUCAAGGGACUUUAAAGUAGAAAAGGGCUUUAGCAUGUACACUGCAGCUGCUCCAGUCCCAGGGCUUACCUCACAAUGGCCUUUGGAAGAUGGUGUAACUAUCUGAAGAGUAUUAUUAUUAUUGUUGUUAUUAUUUAGAUAAAAUAUUCCUUAACCUAUAGCUAUGCACUGUGGGUUUGUGUUUAUAGAGUGUUUGUGUAAAGACACCCAUAUCUCAACUAUUUCUGUGCAUUUCCUCCUAAAGCUUGCCAUAUCUACAUGAGCUCAAGACAAUUUUCAUCAACCAGAGGAUGGACACUUAGGGGUCCCUUGGGGGUUUGCUACAUGGUAGAUAAGGAAGAGAUAAGGCAGGUGGAACUCCAACUAAUAACAUGGUUAUAUAUUAUAAACACAUAAUUAAAUAUUUAAUACAUCAAUGUGAACACUACCAAGGAGAGUGGUGGUAAAUUCUACCUCCCUGAGACAGGGAGAAGACAAGGAUCUUUUGGGUUUCCAAGUAAUUUCCUUAGAAAGAUGAAAAUAAUUUGGAUUAAAAAAAUUCCCACUAGAGAGACUUAACCAGAAAGCUCUUCACUCAUAAUUUUAUAUCCAGCCAUAUUUACUAGUUAAGUCUCUCACUGCUGGCAAUUUUUCAAUUGUUAGCAGUCAUGUAAAUGUUUUUGCAAAGCAAUGGCCUACCACAAUGAACUAUUUGAUGGCUCUGGUCCAUAUACUUCACAUCAUUUAUUACUGCACAUGGUGUGGGGACCUGUGCUUGCUAAUGCACAGAUAAAAGCCAUAACAGAAUGGUGACAGAACAAAUGAAGCCUGUCCUUCGAAGUAAGCCCUGCC
Dasypus novemcinctus (nine-banded armadillo) is the source of this 4227-nucleotide long non-coding RNA. NCBI's taxonomy places the organism in Eukaryota, Metazoa, Chordata, Mammalia, Cingulata, Dasypodidae. The record is from Ensembl.